Molecule: ribosomal RNA, 745 nt
Filed under: uncultured bacterium
Lineage: Bacteria
Description: bacterial SSU rRNA
Rfam family: Bacterial small subunit ribosomal RNA
Source: RNAcentral
ACGCUGGCGGCAGGCCUAACACAUGCAAGUCGAGCGGUAGAGAGAAGCUUGCUUCUCUUGAGAGCGGCGGACGGGUGAGUAAUGCCUAGGAAUCUGCCUGGUAGUGGGGGAUAACGUUCGGAAACGGACGCCAAUACCGCAUACGUCCUACGGGAGAAAGCAGGGGACCUUCGGGCCUUGCGCUAUCAGAUGAGCCUAGGUCGGAUUAGCUAGUCGGUGGGGUAAUGGCUCACCAAGGCGACGAUCCGUAACUGGUCUGAGAGGAUGAUCAGUCACACUGGAACUGAGACACGGUCCAGACUCCUACGGGAGGCAGCAGUGGGGAAUAUUGGACAAUGGGCGAAAGCCUGAUCCAGCCAUGCCGCGUGUGUGAAGAAGGUCUUCGGAUUGUAAAGCACUUUAAGUUGGGAGGAAGGGUUGUAGAUUAAUACUCUGCAAUUUUGACGUUACCGACAGAAUAAGCACCGGCUAACUCUGUGCCAGCAGCCGAGGUAAUACAGAGGGUGCAAGCGUUAAUCGGAAUUACUGGGCGUAAAGCGCGCGUAGGUGGUUUGUUAAGUUGGAUGUGAAAUCCCCGGGCUCAACCUGGGAACUGCAUUCAAAACUGACUGACUAGAGUAUGGUAGAGGGUGGUGGAAUUUCCUGUGUAGCGGUGAAAUGCGUAGAUAUAGGAAGGAACACCAGUGGCGAAGGCGACCACCUGGACUAAUACUGACACUGAGGUGCGAAAGCGUGGGGAGCAAAC